GUGUUCCUGCGGUGCUCGUGAUGGAUCUUAGGAGGCUCGUCUGAGCCAAUGUUCCUUCCAAGCGAGCUGCGUCCGCUGCGUGGUGUGCAUGCCUCCGUCGUGAGGAAGCCUGAAGCGCGGUGUUCCAGCGGCUCCACCUGUUAACGCAGGUUCAGCGAUCCUCCCCACACGGCACCGCGGGACAUUU
Molecule: non-coding RNA, 187 nt
Filed under: Acidobacteriota bacterium
Lineage: Bacteria; Pseudomonadati; Acidobacteriota
Description: Acidobacteria bacterium (wastewater metagenome) 6S RNA
Rfam family: 6S / SsrS RNA
About the family: E. coli 6S RNA was the first non coding RNA to be sequenced, but its function was unknown until recently.
Source: RNAcentral